CUCAGAAUGAGCUUCCUGGUCACAGUGGAGAAGCUGCUCGGCUGGUACGACUUCAACCUCAACGGCAGGAUGUAGAAGGUCCGGACCUUGGCGUAGGUGUUCUCAUCAUGAGUCCACAUAAGCUUUGACUCCUUUUCAAAGGUAUGUAUCCUAUCCAGUAAUAGAACAGUGUUAACAGACCUAGCCUUGA
Long non-coding RNA from Scomber japonicus (chub mackerel), 190 nucleotides. RefSeq lists it as uncharacterized. Lineage: Eukaryota; Metazoa; Chordata; Actinopteri; Scombriformes; Scombridae. The transcript is spliced from 3 exons. The record is from RefSeq and is a predicted model, not a curated record.